RNAcentral lists this ribosomal RNA (501 nucleotides) under uncultured bacterium. RNAcentral describes it as "partial 16S ribosomal RNA". It matches the Rfam family "Bacterial small subunit ribosomal RNA", at positions 30 to 523 of the family's 1533-position model. The record is from RNAcentral.
AUUGAACGCUGGCGGCAUGCCUUACACAUGCAAGUCGAACGGCAGCACGGGUGCUUGCACCUGGUGGCGAGUGGCGAACGGGGGAGUAAUAUAUCGGAACGUACCUUAUUGUGGGGGAUAACGCAGCGAAAGCUGUGCUAAUACCGCAUAAUCCCUAAGGGGGAAAGCGGGGGACCGUAAGGCCUCGCGCAAUUAGAGCGGCCGAUACCUGAUUAGCUAGUUGGUGAGGUAAAGGCUCACCAAGGCAACGAUCCGUAUCUGGUCUGAGAGGACGAGCAGCCACACUGGGACUGGGCCACGGCCCAGACUCCUACGGGAGGAAGUAGUGGGGAAUUUUGGACAAUGGGGGGAACCCGGAUCCAGCAAUGGCGCGUGAGUGAAGAAGGCCUUCGGGUUGUAAAGCUCUUUUGUCAGGGAAGAAACAGCAGCUCUAACACAGUAUGCGAAUGACGGUACCUGAAGAAUAAGCACCGGCUAACUACGUGCCAGCCGCCGCCGUAA